Molecule: small RNA, 427 nt
Filed under: Pongo abelii (Sumatran orangutan)
Lineage: Eukaryota; Metazoa; Chordata; Mammalia; Primates; Hominidae
Description: retained intron
Source: RNAcentral
CAGUAUCCAUAGCCAAUUCUUUCAGAGGAUUCUGGAGCGGAAGAAGGAGUCUCUGGUGGAUAAAAGUGAAAAGAACUUUCUCAUCAAGAGGAUAGGGGAUGUACUUGUAAAUCAGUUUUCAGGUGAGAAUGCAGAACGUUUAAAGGAGACAUAUGGCAAGUUUUGUGGGCAGCAUAACCAGUCUGUAAACUACUUCAAAGACCUUUAUGCCAAGGAUAAGCGUUUUCAAGCCUUUGUAAAGGUAUUGAUAAGAAACAUGAAAAUCCCUGUCAUUGUUGAGAGCCAUGUGUCCCUGUCGGCUUUCACUAGAGCCUUUUUCAUGUGAUUCCUCACAGUCUGUUUACUCCCUUGCAGAAGAAGAUGAGCAGUUCAGUUGUUAGAAGGCUUGGAAUUCCAGAGUGCAUAUUGCUUGUAACUCAGCGGAUUA